CCUACGGGUGGCAGCAGUGGGGGAUAUUGCACAAUGGGGGAAACGCUGAUGCAGCGACGCCGCGUGAGUGAAGAAGUAGUUCGGUAUGUAAAGCUCUAUCAGCAGGGAAGAAAAAAGACGGUACCUGACUAAGACGACCCGGCUAACGACGGGCCAGCGGCCGCGGUAAUACGUAGGGGGCAAGCGUUAUCCGGGUUUACUGGGGGUAAAGGGCGAGUAGACGGCAAUACAAGUCGGAAGUGAAAUACCCGGGCUCAACCUGGGAAUUGCGUUGGAGACUGUAUGGCUUGAGUGCGGGAGAGGUAAGCGGAAUUCGUAGUGUAGCGGUGAAAUGCGUAGAUAUUAGGAGGAACACCAGUGGCGAAGGCGGCUUACUGGACAGUAACUGACGUUGAGGCUCGAAAGCGUGGGGAUCAAACAGGAUUAGAUACCCGAGUAGUC
RNAcentral lists this ribosomal RNA (441 nucleotides) under uncultured bacterium. RNAcentral describes it as "partial 16S ribosomal RNA". It matches the Rfam family "Bacterial small subunit ribosomal RNA", at positions 338 to 795 of the family's 1533-position model. The record is from RNAcentral.